UUUAGUUUUAUUGGGCAUUCGGUGGAUGCCUUGGCAUCAAGAGCUGAUGAAGGACGUUGCGGCCUGCGAUAUGCCUCGGGGAGCUGGCGAGCGAGCGUUAUUAUCCGAGGGUGUCCGAAUGGGGGAACCUAACCUGGGUUGUGCUGGGUUACCAUCAUCUGAACGUGUAUAGGGUGGUGGGGGGAACGCGGGGAAGUGAAACAUCUCAGUACCCGCAGGAAAAGAUAUUCCGUGAGUAGUGGCGAGCGAAAGCGGAGGAGGCUAAACCAGAUGCGUGUGAGAGGCGGCGGCCGUUGCGUGUUUGGUGUUGUGGGGCCAUGUUGGAUCCUUCUGCCGGGGGAUCGCGCCAGUUGUUGUUGGGAGUUGAACAGUCUGGGAAGUCUGACCGUAGAGCGUGAGAGUCGUGUAAGCGGACCGGUUGCUUCUGGUGUGGGUGUGGUGCCCGAGUAGCGCGGGACUCGUGAAAUCUCGUGUGAAUCUGCCAAGACCACUUGGUAAGCCUAAAUACUACUUGAUGACCGAUAGUGCAUAGUACCGUGAGGGAAUGGUGAAAAGUACCCCGGGAGGGGAGUGAAAUAGUACCUGAAACCGUGUGCCUGUAAGCCGUCAGAGCCUUGUGGGGUGAUGGCGUGCCUUUUGAAGAAUGAGCCUGCGAGUUAGUGAUACGUGGCGUGCUUAACCCGUGUGGGGUAUGCGUAGCGAAAGCGAGUCUGAAAGAUGGCGUUUGUCGCGUGUUCUAGACCCGAAGCGGGGUGAUCUACCCAUGGUCAGGUUGAAGCAGAGGUAAGACUGUGUGGAGGACCGAACCCACCAGGGUUGAAAACCUGGGGGAUGAACUGUGGGUAGGGGUGAAAGGCCAAUCAAACUCCGUGAUAGCUGGUUCUCCCCGAAAUGCAUUUAGGUGCAGCGUUGCGUGGUCCCUGGUGGAGGUAGAGCUACUGGAUGGCCGAUGGGCCCUGUGGGUUACUGACGUCAGCCAAACUCCGAAUGCCAUUAGGUGUAGCGCGGCAGUGAGACUGCGGGGGAUAAGCUUCGUAGUCGAGAGGGAAACAGCCCAGAUCAUCAGCUAAGGCCCCUAAGCGUACGCUAAGUGGGAAAGGAUGUGGAGUCGCGGUGACAACCAGGAGGUUGGCUUAGAAGCAGCCAUCCUUGAAAGAGUGCGUAAUAGCUCACUGGUCAAGUGGUUCUGCGCCGACAAUGUAGCGGGGCUCAAGCGUACCGCCGAAGCUGUGGCAACAACACGCGAUGCUGGCGCCAGGAACUGGAGUGCUGGUGUGUUGUUGGGUAGGGGAGCGUCCUGCACGAGGUGAAGCCUGGAGGGAACUUCUGGUGGAUUGUGUGGGAGUGAGAAUGCAGGCAUGAGUAACGAAUCUGCGGUGAGAAUCCGCAGCGCCGAUUGACUAAGGGUUCCAGGGCUAGGUUUAUCCGCCCUGGGUUAGUCGGGUCCUAAGGCGAGGCCGACAGGCGUAGUCGAUGGACAACCAGUUGAUAUUCUGGUACCGCGUUAUGACCGCCCAUGCUGAAGUCAUUGUGCUAACCAAUCUGCCCGUACCCCCGCAUGGCUUUCGGGCUGUGUGGGUGUGUGUGGGUCUUGGGGUCCCGGUGAUUGUAGGCAAGCGUGUUAACAGGGGUGACGCAGACAGGUAGCUGCAGUGCGCCGAUGGUUGUGCGUAUUUAAGGUUGUGGCCCGUCCCCCAGGCAAAUCCGGGGGACAAUGUGGGUGAGAACUGAUGAGGGACACACGCGUGUGUGGACUUGUGGUGAUCCUAAGCUGCCGAGAAAAGCCUCGACGUGAGGGCAUGACGCGCCCGUACCCUAAACCGACUCAGGUGGUCAGGUAGAGUAUACCGAGGCGUUCGAGUGAAUCGUGGUUAAGGAACUCGGCAAAAUUCCUCCGUAACUUCGGGAUAAGGAGGACCCUGUGACUUCCCCGCGCCUUGCGCGCGGUGUGGGGUUGUGGGGUCGCAGAGAAUAGGGAGAAGCGACUGUUUAUCAAAAACACAGGUGCGUGCGAAGCCGUAAGGCGAUGUAUACGCACUGACGCCUGCCCGGUGCUGGAAGGUUAAGAGGAACCGUCAACACCCCUUCGGGGUGUGAAGCGGUGAAUUUAAGCCCCAGUAAACGGCGGUGGUAACUAUAACCAUCCUAAGGUAGCGAAAUUCCUUGUCGGGUAAGUUCCGACCUGCACGAAUGGCGUAA
RNAcentral lists this ribosomal RNA (2199 nucleotides) under human oral metagenome. RNAcentral's name for it is "bacterial LSU rRNA". It matches the Rfam family "Bacterial large subunit ribosomal RNA", at positions 1 to 2004 of the family's 2925-position model. The record is from RNAcentral.